CAAUAGCGUAUAUUAAAGUUGUUGCAGUUAAAAAGCUCGUAGUUGGAUUUGUGGCGUACGGUGUGUUCCGGGCACUUGUUGUCAGAGUAACCUGCUGUUGCCAUCCUUGGGUGGAACCUGUGUGGCAUUAGGUUGUCGUGCAGGGGAUGCCCAUCAUUUACUGUGAAAAAAUUAGAGUGUUCAAAGCAGGCUUAUGCCGUUGAAUAUAUUAGCAUGGAAUAAUGAGAUAGGACUUUUUUGCUAUUUUGUUGGUUUGCGCAAAGAGGUAAUGAUUAAUAGGGACAGUUGGGGGUAUUCGUAUUCCAUUGUCAGAGGUGAAAUUCUUGGAUUUUUGGAAGACGAACUACUGCGAAAGCAUUUACCAAGGAUGUUUUCAUUAA
RNAcentral lists this ribosomal RNA (380 nucleotides) under uncultured eukaryote. RNAcentral's name for it is "partial 18S ribosomal RNA". It matches the Rfam family "Eukaryotic small subunit ribosomal RNA", at positions 592 to 976 of the family's 1831-position model. The record is from RNAcentral.